UACAGAGGGUGCAAGCGUUGUUCGGAAUUAUUGGGCGUAAAGAGCGUGUAGGCGGCCAGGUAGGUCUGCUGUGAAAACUCGAGGCUUAACCUCGAGCUGUCGGUGGAAACCAUCUGGCUAGAGUCCGGAAGAGGAGAAUGGAAUUCCCGGUGUAGCGGUGAAAUGCGCAGAUAUCGGGAAGAACACCCGUGGCGAAGGCGGUUCUCUGGGACGGUACUGACGCUGAGACGCGAAAGCGUGGGGAGCGAACAGG
Molecule: ribosomal RNA, 253 nt
Filed under: uncultured bacterium
Lineage: Bacteria
Description: partial 16S ribosomal RNA
Rfam family: Bacterial small subunit ribosomal RNA
Source: RNAcentral